GGUGUAGCCACGCGCGCUGGCGGGAGAAAUCCCCCUGAGGCUGGGCCUGGGGAAGGAACUUCCCAACAACAGACUAUGUAUCAUUCUCACGGGACAGAUCGGCCUGCCCUGGUCCUCCUCGCACUCUCCAUGUUCUUCCUAACCCGUGGGGCCAGAACUGAUCGCUGACCCAGCCCAGGGUUACUAAAAGAGAGGAUGAAGGCAAUGCUCAGGCUAUGUAGUUUGCCUGGAGGUUAACAUCUCUCAGACUACCCUUAAGGAGAAGAUGGAGAGG
Molecule: long non-coding RNA, 274 nt
Filed under: Sarcophilus harrisii (Tasmanian devil)
Lineage: Eukaryota; Metazoa; Chordata; Mammalia; Dasyuromorphia; Dasyuridae
Description: lncRNA (ENSSHAG00000020539.1)
Source: RNAcentral